CAUGAUAACUCUUGAACGGUAAAAGUGACACUUAAAAAUUUCAAAUUUGAUUUUGUGUUGAGGUGGGGAUCCCGCUUACAUGUUCAACCCCGCCUUAUUCGGUAUGUAUGUGCUUGUGGUAAGUCAGGAGCCUGUAAUUCAAUGAAUGUCGUUUUUUAUGUGUUACAUACUUGUUUUUCGUUCAUUUUUUUUACAUAAAUUUGUUCGUUUAUUUUUCUCGUUUGAAUAUUGUUUUACAAUGUCAUUUCAGUGCCUUUUAUUGAUAACUAUAUGCGGUAUUGACUUUGCUCAUUGUUGAAAGCUGCAUAUGACCCAUAGUUUUUAGUGUUUGUGUGAUCUGGUCUUUUGUGGAGAGUUCUUAUUGGCACUCAUGCCACAUACGGGGGAGGGUUGGGAUCCCGCUAACAUGUUUAACCCCGCC
This 421-nucleotide long non-coding RNA is filed under the name Mytilus galloprovincialis (Mediterranean mussel). The record is from RNAcentral. Lineage: Eukaryota; Metazoa; Mollusca; Bivalvia; Mytilida; Mytilidae.